UAAUAUAAAAAAGAAGAUGUGGUAUGAUUGCCAAUGAGACAACUAUCCACAAAAGACCAAAAUGACACAGACAUUAACAACUAUAGGUCACCGUACGGCCUUCAACAAUGAGCAAAGCCCAUACCGCAUAGUCAGCUAUAAAAGGCCCCGAUAAGACAAUGUAAAGCAAUUCAAACGAGAAAACUAACAGCCUUAUUUAUGUAAAAAAAUGAACG
This 215-nucleotide long non-coding RNA is filed under the name Mytilus galloprovincialis (Mediterranean mussel). The record is from RNAcentral. Lineage: Eukaryota; Metazoa; Mollusca; Bivalvia; Mytilida; Mytilidae.